UGGGAAUUUUGCGCAAUGGGGGAAACCCUGACGCAGCAACGCCGCGUGGGUGAGGAAGGCCUUCGGGUCGUAAAGCCCUUUCAGCAGGGAAGAAACAAAUGACGGUACCUGCAGAAGAAGCACCGGCUAACUCCGUGCCAGCAGCCGCGGUAAUACGGAGGGUGCGAGCGUUAUUCGGAUUCACUGGGCGUAAAGCGCGCGUAGGCGGUUGGGUAAGUCUGAUGUGAAAGCCCUCGACUUAAUCGAGGAAGUGCAUUGGAUACUGCCUGACUAGAGUGCAGGAGAGGAAGAUGGAAUUCCCGGUGUAGAGGUGAAAUUCGUAGAUAUCGGGAGGAACAACAGAGGCGAAGGCGAUCUUCUGGACUGUAACUGACGCUGAGGCGCGAAAGCGUGGGGAGCAAAC
RNAcentral lists this ribosomal RNA (403 nucleotides) under uncultured bacterium. RNAcentral describes it as "bacterial SSU rRNA". It matches the Rfam family "Bacterial small subunit ribosomal RNA", at positions 356 to 773 of the family's 1533-position model. The record is from RNAcentral.